Molecule: ribosomal RNA, 253 nt
Filed under: uncultured bacterium
Lineage: Bacteria
Description: partial 16S ribosomal RNA
Rfam family: Bacterial small subunit ribosomal RNA
Source: RNAcentral
UACAGAGGGGGCAAGCGUUGUCCGGACUGACUGGGCGUAAAGGGCGCGCAGGCGGUCACGGGCGUCGGUGCUGAAAGUGCGCCGCUUAACGGCGCAAUGCGUGCCGAUACGCCAUGACUGGAGCGCGGGCGAGGGUGGUAGAAUUGCCGGUGUAGUGGUGAAAUGCGUAGAUAUCGGCAGGAAUACCUGUGGCGAAGGCGGCCACCUAGCCCGCUGCUGACGCUGAGGCGCGACAGCGUGGGGAGCGAACUGG